UCACUCUUAGCGGUGGAUCACUCGGCUCGUGG
Molecule: ribosomal RNA, 32 nt
Filed under: Ascaridia galli
Lineage: Eukaryota; Metazoa; Nematoda; Chromadorea; Rhabditida; Ascaridiidae
Description: partial 5.8S ribosomal RNA
Source: RNAcentral